UACGAAGGGGGCUAGCGUUGCUCGGAAUCACUGGGCGUAAAGGGUGCGUAGGCGGGUCUUUAAGUCAGGGGUGAAAUCCUGGAGCUCAACUCCAGAACUGCCUUUGAUACUGAGGAUCUUGAGUCCGGGAGAGGUGAGUGGAACUCCGAGUGUAGAGGUGAAAUUCGUAGAUAUUCGGAAGAACACCAGUGGCGAAGGCGGCUCACUGGCCCGGUACUGACGCUGAUGUGCGAAAGCGUGGGGAGCAAACAGG
This 253-nucleotide ribosomal RNA is filed under the name uncultured bacterium. RNAcentral's name for it is "partial 16S ribosomal RNA". It matches the Rfam family "Bacterial small subunit ribosomal RNA", at positions 524 to 776 of the family's 1533-position model. The record is from RNAcentral.